CCUACGGGUGGCAGCAGUGGGGAAUUUUGCGCAAUGCUCGUAAGAGUGAACCAGUGAAGCAGCGUGAAUGACGAAUGCCCUCCGGGUGGAAAGUUCUUUCGACAGAGAAGUAAAUGCAUAUAAGUGACUGUGUAUGUAUUGACGGUACCUGUAUAAACAGCCCCGGCUAACUCCGUGCCCGCAGCCGCGGUAAUACGGAGGGGGCGAGCGUGGUUCGGAGUGACUGGGAGUAAGGAGAACGUAGAUGGUGUUGUAAGUCAAUAGUCAAAGAGUAGAGCUCAACCUUAGUAAGGCUAGUGAUACUAUAAGCCUUGAGUAACAUAGAGGAUUGCAGAAUUCCUGGUGUAGCGGUGAAAUGCGUAGAUAUCACGAGGAACACCGUUUGCGAAGGCGGCAAACU
RNAcentral lists this ribosomal RNA (400 nucleotides) under uncultured bacterium. RNAcentral's name for it is "partial 16S ribosomal RNA". It matches the Rfam family "Bacterial small subunit ribosomal RNA", at positions 338 to 730 of the family's 1533-position model. The record is from RNAcentral.